GUGAAUCAUCAAAUUUUUGAACGCAAAUUGCACUCUCUGGUAUUCCGGAGCGUAUUCCUGUUUGAGGGUCAGUUUAAAUAAAAAUCGGGGUGGUUGCUGCUUUCCGUGGUGACGCACCGGAUUUGGGUCGUCUUGCCUUCUGUUAAGUGACCUAAAAAUUUGCAUGAUCUUUUUCGAAAGUAUUUAAAUGUUUUUACGUACGUUUGCGAUAUCGAA
This 216-nucleotide unclassified non-coding RNA is filed under the name Glomeraceae sp. RNAcentral's name for it is "partial contains 5.8S ribosomal RNA and internal transcribed spacer 2". The stretch from base 1 to 71 matches the Rfam family "5.8S ribosomal RNA", at positions 84 to 154 of the family's 154-position model. The record is from RNAcentral. Lineage: Eukaryota; Fungi; Glomeromycota; Glomeromycetes; Glomerales; Glomeraceae.